Molecule: ribosomal RNA, 503 nt
Filed under: uncultured bacterium
Lineage: Bacteria
Description: bacterial SSU rRNA
Rfam family: Bacterial small subunit ribosomal RNA
Source: RNAcentral
UAAUACCUGCGCACGCUUAACAUGCAAGUCCCACGGUAACAGGGAGAAGCUUGCUUCUUUGCCGACGAGUGGCGGACGGGUGAGUAAUGCUUGGGAAUCUGUCUUACGGAGGGGGAUAACCACGGGAAACUGUGGCUAAUACCGCGUAAUGUCUAAGGACUAAAGGGUGGGAUCUUCGGACCACCUGCCAUAGGAUGAGCCCAAGUGGGAUUAGCUGGUUGGUGAGGUAAAGGCUUACCAAGGCGACGAUCUCUAGCUGGUCUGAGAGGAUGACCAGCCACACCGGGACUGAGACACGGCCCGGACUCCUACGGGAGGCAGCAGUGGGGAAUAUUGCGCAAUGGGGGGAACCAUGACGCAGCCAUGCCGCGUGAAUGAAGAAGGCCUUCGGGUUGUAAAGUUCUUUCAGUGGUGAGGAAGGCGGAUAAGUUAAUAGCUUAUUUGAUUGACGUUAGCCACAGAAGAAGCACCGGCAAACCUCCGUGCCCAGCAGCCGCGGUAAU